Molecule: ribosomal RNA, 524 nt
Filed under: uncultured bacterium
Lineage: Bacteria
Description: partial 16S ribosomal RNA
Rfam family: Bacterial small subunit ribosomal RNA
Source: RNAcentral
AACGAACGCUGGCGGCGUGCUUAACACAUGCAAGUCGAACGAGACGAUUGAAAGCUUGCUUUCGAAAGUCGAGUGGCAAACGGGUGAGUAACGCGUAGACAACCUGCCUUUGAGAUGGGGACAACAGUUCGAAAGGACUGCUAAUACCGAAUGUUGUAUAUUUUCCACAUGGAAGAUAUAUUAAAGAUGGCCUCUAUUUAUAAGCUAUCGCUCAAAGAUGGGUCUGCGUCUGAUUAGCUGGUUGGUGGGGUAACGGCCUACCAAGGCGACGAUCAGUAGCCGGUCUGAGAGGAUGAACGGCCACAUUGGGACUGAGACACGGCCCAGACUCCUACGGGAGGCAGCAGUGGGGAAUCUUCCACAAUGGACGAAAGUCUGAUGGAGCAACGCCGCGUGAGUCAAGAAGGGUUUCGGCUCGUAAAGCUCUGUUGUCGGGGACGAAUGUGCAGUAUUUGAAUAAAGUACUGUAAUGACGGUACCUGACGAGGAAGCCACGGCUAACUACGUGCCAGCAGCCGCCGUAA